Molecule: ribosomal RNA, 566 nt
Filed under: uncultured archaeon
Lineage: Archaea
Description: bacterial SSU rRNA
Rfam family: Archaeal small subunit ribosomal RNA
Source: RNAcentral
CAACCUGAGGAUUGUGCGGUUUAAUUGGAUUCAACGCCGGAAAACUCACCAUAGCCGACGGACAAAUGAAGGUCAGUGUAAUGAACUUACCGGAUUGUUCGAGAGGUAGUGCAUGGCCGCCGUCAGUUCGUACCGCAAGGCGUUCUGUUAAGUCAGAUAACGAACGAGACCCUCAUCUCUAUUUGCUAACUGAAUCUCCGGAUUCAGUGCACUAUAGGGAGACCGCUGGCGCUAAGUCAGAGGAAGGGGAGGGCAACGGUAGGUCAGUAUGCUCCGAAUGCUAUGGGCUACACGCGCAAUACAAAGGACGGGACAAUGGGCUGCUGCUCCGAAAGGAACGAUAGCUAUCCCGAAACCCGUUCGUAGUUCGGAUUGAGGGCUGUAACUCGCCCUCAUGAAGCUGGAUUAGGUAGUAAUCGCGUCUCAAGAAGGCGCGGUGAAUAUGCCCCUGCUCCUUGCACACACCGCCCGUCAAACCAUCUUAGUUGUGGGUGGGUGAGGCUACCCCUCUAUGGGGUAUUCGAGCCUGCCUUCGACGAGGAGGGUUAAGUCGUAACAAGGUAGCC